RNAcentral lists this ribosomal RNA (709 nucleotides) under Streptococcus sp. HGH0359. RNAcentral's name for it is "bacterial SSU rRNA". It matches the Rfam family "Bacterial small subunit ribosomal RNA", at positions 67 to 761 of the family's 1533-position model. The record is from RNAcentral. Lineage: Bacteria; Bacillati; Bacillota; Bacilli; Lactobacillales; Streptococcaceae.
CUGAAGAGAGGAGCUUGCUCUUCUUGGAUGAGUUGCGAACGGGUGAGUAACGCGUAGGUAACCUGCCUUGUAGCGGGGGAUAACUAUUGGAAACGAUAGCUAAUACCGCAUAACAAUGGAUGACCCAUGUCAUUUAUUUGAAAGGGGCAAAUGCUCCACUACAAGAUGGACCUGCGUUGUAUUAGCUAGUAGGUGAGGUAACGGCUCACCUAGGCGACGAUACAUAGCCGACCUGAGAGGGUGAUCGGCCACACUGGGACUGAGACACGGCCCAGACUCCUACGGGAGGCAGCAGUAGGGAAUCUUCGGCAAUGGGGGCAACCCUGACCGAGCAACGCCGCGUGAGUGAAGAAGGUUUUCGGAUCGUAAAGCUCUGUUGUAAGUCAAGAACGAGUGUGAGAGUGGAAAGUUCACACUGUGACGGUAGCUUACCAGAAAGGGACGGCUAACUACGUGCCAGCAGCCGCGGUAAUACGUAGGUCCCGAGCGUUGUCCGGAUUUAUUGGGCGUAAAGCGAGCGCAGGCGGUUUGAUAAGUCUGAAGUUAAAGGCUGUGGCUCAACCAUAGUUCGCUUUGGAAACUGUCAAACUUGAGUGCAGAAGGGGAGAGUGGAAUUCCAUGUGUAGCGGUGAAAUGCGUAGAUAUAUGGAGGAACACCGGUGGCGAAAGCGGCUCUCUGGUCUGUAACUGACGCUGAGGCUCGAAAGCG